Chlorocebus sabaeus (green monkey) is the source of this 576-nucleotide long non-coding RNA. RefSeq lists it as uncharacterized. The record is from RefSeq and is a predicted model, not a curated record. Lineage: Eukaryota; Metazoa; Chordata; Mammalia; Primates; Cercopithecidae.
UCCCCACCUUUCCCAGCGGAUGACACUCGGAGGUUCCGGAAACGUCACAUCCGGCGCCCGUUCCGCCCACUCCCGCUCGUCUGUCUAUUACAUUCCCAAUGAUUUAGGACUUGGAAUGGAGAGCUAGUAGGUGGGGCUAGAAUCGGCACCUGCGGAAAAUCCGACCAAUGAGGAGCGAAUGACAGAGCGGCCAUCUUGGUAAAGGAAAAGGAACAAGGAAGAAGGUGGAACUAAAGACCAAGCUGAGACAGGGUCUUUCAGUGCCACCCAGGCUGGCACAGGAGUGCAGUGGCGUGAUCAUAGCCCACUGUGGUCUCCAACUUAUGGACUCAAGCGAUCUUCCUGCCUCCGCCUCACAAAGUACUAGGAUUACUGGCGUGUGCCACCGCACCCAAAUGAGACUAACGUUUUAAUGUCAAAAAACCUAUAAAAUAUUCGGAAAAAAAGAGUUUAAUCUCUAAGAGCCACUGUGCAAAAGCAGUGAAGACCCAAAGAUCUGUAUGACACUGUUCCUGCCCUGAGACCAGGACAAGGUGGUUUUAUGCAUCAAAUACAGAAUGGCACGUUCUGCACGUA